UACGUAGGGGGCAAGCGUUGUCCGGAUUUACUGGGCGUAAAGCGCGUGUAGGCGGCCACGCAGGUCCGUUGUGAAAACUGGAGGAUUAACCUCCAGACGUCGACGGAAACCGUGUGGCUAGAGUCCGGAAGAGGAGAGUGGAAUUCCUGGUGUAGCGGUGAAAUGCGCAGAUAUCAGGAAGAACACCAAUGGCGAAGGCAGCUCUCUGGGACGGUACUGACGCUGAGACGCGAAAGCGUGGGGAGCGAACACG
This 253-nucleotide ribosomal RNA is filed under the name uncultured bacterium. Its description in RNAcentral is "partial 16S ribosomal RNA". It matches the Rfam family "Bacterial small subunit ribosomal RNA", at positions 524 to 776 of the family's 1533-position model. The record is from RNAcentral.